RNAcentral lists this non-coding RNA (110 nucleotides) under human gut metagenome. Its description in RNAcentral is "THF riboswitch". It matches the Rfam family "THF (Tetrahydrofolate) riboswitch aptamer". Rfam says of the family: THF riboswitch presents a pseudoknot that joins P1-P2 and the loop of P3 and two THF binding. RNAcentral also lists the same sequence under 2 other names. The record is from RNAcentral.
CAGAGUAGGUAUCCGCGCGAUGAUUUUUAAAUCAACAGUGUCGUAUGCACAGGGAGUUGGCAUACGGACGAAGUGCCGCAAGGCUGCGGUGCGGAUACCGCAUCCCGCUG